CCCCUUCUCUUUUUUUUCCGUCUUCUUUCUUUUGGUGGUUGCUCUCACUUCUUCCUACCCUCUACCAACUAGCAGUUGCCACCAACCACUUUUUCUGCCAGUUCUGGUCGCCAGCCAGCCACCAUUUCUGGCCAACAUUCAUUCAAGCCUUUAGUUCACCCAUUUAGCUCCAAAUCAAGGUGCAAUUGAAGGAGUCUACACUUGGAUUCUAUUGUUGAUUGGAGUAGCAAGCUUGAGUAGGUGAAGUUCAAGAACUUGGUAAG
This is a long non-coding RNA of Tripterygium wilfordii, 263 nucleotides long. RefSeq lists it as uncharacterized. The transcript is spliced from 3 exons. The record is from RefSeq and is a predicted model, not a curated record. Lineage: Eukaryota; Viridiplantae; Streptophyta; Magnoliopsida; Celastrales; Celastraceae.